RNAcentral lists this ribosomal RNA (420 nucleotides) under Triticum aestivum (bread wheat). RNAcentral describes it as "partial small subunit ribosomal RNA". The record is from RNAcentral. Lineage: Eukaryota; Viridiplantae; Streptophyta; Magnoliopsida; Poales; Poaceae.
AUUCAAGACUAUUUCGCGGAGAAUCCUACAUAUCCUCCGCAUCUCUUCUGGAGAAGGUACCGAAUGCGCCGAGCCCUCUUUGUGAAACUUGUUCAAGCAUGCGAGGAAAAUUGCCGGUAUUUUACUCAAAGAAGGAAUGACGCGGGCUUAAAUGGAUUUAGUGCAUAUCAAAAAAUCUCCGCAGCUAUGCGGGUGAUUGCAUAUGGCGUUCCGGCUGACUAUGUUGAUGAGUAUCUUCGCAUUGGUGAAGAUAGCACAAUUGAGACUGUGCGUAGAUUUGCGAAAGUGAUCAUCCGUUUCUUCGGUCCUGAAUAUCUUCGGGCACCAAAUGAAGAUGACACAAAGAAAUUGAUGGCAUCUAAUGAGAGGAGAGAUUGGCCUGGCAUGCUAGGUAGCAUUGAUUGUAUGCAUUGGAAUUGG